This 1206-nucleotide ribosomal RNA is filed under the name metagenome. RNAcentral's name for it is "bacterial SSU rRNA". It matches the Rfam family "Bacterial small subunit ribosomal RNA", at positions 282 to 1498 of the family's 1533-position model. The record is from RNAcentral.
AGUAGGGGUUCUGAGAGGAAGGUCCCCCACAUUGGAACUGAGACACGGUCCAAACUCCUACGGGAGGCAGCAGUGAGGAAUAUUGGUCAAUGGACGAGAGUCUGAACCAGCCAAGUAGCGUGCAGGAAGACGGCCCUAUGGGUUGUAAACUGCUUUUAUAAGGGAAUAAAGUGAGAGUCGUGACUCUUUUUGCAUGUACCUUAUGAAUAAGGACCGGCUAAUUCCGUGCCAGCAGCCGCGGUAAUACGGAAGGUCCGGGCGUUAUCCGGAUUUAUUGGGUUUAAAGGGAGCGUAGGCCGGAGAUUAAGCGUGUUGUGAAAUGUAGACGCUCAACGUCUGCACUGCAGCGCGAACUGGUUUCCUUGAGUACGCACAAAGUGGGCGGAAUUCGUGGUGUAGCGGUGAAAUGCUUAGAUAUCACGAAGAACUCCGAUUGCGAAGGCAGCUCACUGGAGCGCAACUGACGCUGAAGCUCGAAAGUGCGGGUAUCGAACAGGAUUAGAUACCCUGGUAGUCCGCACGGUAAACGAUGGAUGCCCGCUGUUGGUCUGAAUAGGUCAGCGGCCAAGCGAAGGCAUUAAGCAUCCCACCUGGGGAGUACGCCGGCAACGGUGAAACUCAAAGGAAUUGACGGGGGCCCGCACAAGCGGAGGAACAUGUGGUUUAAUUCGAUGAUACGCGAGGAACCUUACCCGGGCUUGAAUUGCAGAGGAAGGAUUUGGAGACAAUGACGCCCUUCGGGGCCUCUGUGAAGGUGCUGCAUGGUUGUCGUCAGCUCGUGCCGUGAGGUGUCGGCUUAAGUGCCAUAACGAGCGCAACCCCUCUCCUUAGUUGCCAUCAGGUUAAGCUGGGCACUCUGGGGACACUGCCACCGUAAGGUGUGAGGAAGGUGGGGAUGACGUCAAAUCAGCACGGCCCUUACGUCCGGGGCUACACACGUGUUACAAUGGCAGGUACAGAGAGACGGUCCCUUGCAAAACGGAUCAAAUCCUUAAAGCCUGUCUCAGUUCGGACUGGGGUCUGCAACCCGACCCCACGAAGCUGGAUUCGCUAGUAAUCGCGCAUCAGCCAUGGCGCGGUGAAUACGUUCCCGGGCCUUGUACACACCGCCCGUCAAGCCAUGAAAGCCGGGGGCGCCUAAAGUCCGUGACCGUAAGGAGCGGCCUAGGGCGAAACUGGUAAUUGGGGCUAAGUCGUAACAAGGUA